CAGAAUGGGGGUUGAUGAGACCCCAGCCAGGGAAGCCGGCGCAGACUUUCUGGCUAUGUGAGCCUCUGCCCCCAGGGCUGCGGGAGGGCUGGCGACAGUGCCCGGCGCUCUCUACCCAGGAAACGGUGCUGUGACCGCCCCCUUUUCACAGAAAGGAGAAAAGAGUGGGGAGAGAUUAACCGGCCUGAGGACCCACAGUUUAUAGACGGCAGGUGCUUUCAACCAUCCUUUUAACCAUAAGCUUCAUCUGUGGUUUUGGCCUGUUUCUUUUUCCUUUUUUUUUUUCUCACAU
This 292-nucleotide long non-coding RNA is filed under the name Bos taurus (domestic cattle). Its description in RNAcentral is "long non-coding RNA NONBTAT012777". The record is from RNAcentral. Lineage: Eukaryota; Metazoa; Chordata; Mammalia; Artiodactyla; Bovidae.